This 253-nucleotide ribosomal RNA is filed under the name uncultured bacterium. RNAcentral describes it as "partial 16S ribosomal RNA". It matches the Rfam family "Bacterial small subunit ribosomal RNA", at positions 524 to 776 of the family's 1533-position model. The record is from RNAcentral.
UACAGAGGUCUCAAGCGUUGUUCGGAUUCAUUGGGCGUAAAGGGUGUGUAGGUGGCGCCGUAAGUCGGGUGUGAAAUUUCGGAGCUUAACUCCGAAAUUGCAUUCGAUACUGCGGUGCUUGAGGACUGGAGAGGAGACUGGAAUUCAUGGUGUAGCAGUGAAAUGCGUAGAGAUCAUGAGGAAGACCAGUGGCGAAGGCGGGUCUCUGGACAGUUCCUGACACUGAGACACGAAGGCCAGGGGAGCAAACGGG